GAUGAAGAACGUAGCGAAAUGCGAUAAGUAAUGUGAAUUGCAGAAUUCAGUGAAUCAUCGAAUCUUUGAACGCACAUUGCGCCAGCCAGUAUUCUGGCGGGCAUGCCUGUCUGAGCGUCAUUUCAACCCUCAUGCCCCUAGGGCGUGGUGUUGGGGAUCGGCCAAAGCCCGCGAGGGACGGCCGGCCCCUAAAUCUAGUGGCGGACCCGUCGUGGCCUCCUCUGCGAAGUAGUGAUAUUCCGCAUCGGAGAGCGAUGAGCCCCUGCCGUUAAACCCCCAACUUUCCAAGGUUGACCUCAGAUCAGGUAGGAAUACCCGCUGAACUUAAGCAUAUCAAUAAGCGGAGGA
This 348-nucleotide unclassified non-coding RNA is filed under the name soil metagenome. RNAcentral's name for it is "partial contains 5.8S ribosomal RNA, internal transcribed spacer 2, and large subunit ribosomal RNA". The stretch from base 1 to 120 matches the Rfam family "5.8S ribosomal RNA", at positions 35 to 154 of the family's 154-position model. The record is from RNAcentral.